GAAAUUAUAUAUAUAUAAUUAUGCUAUAAUUAUAAUUAAAAAAUUAUAAUUUUUUGGUCUUUUUUUUUCUUUUCCAUUUCGUUGAAAUAUUUACAGCAAUGGGGGAGGAGGAGGAGAAGAGAGGAAGGGGUAAGAUGGCCCCCUAGGGAAAGAUCCAAGCCCAGGACCCACUCCCCAGGGAUAUCCAGACCCAAAAUCUGCUCCCCAGAUAGCCGAGCCCACAGGACUGGGAACUGCCCAGAUAUGGCCACCCCUGUGGGCUGGGGGCCCUGUGGGGAGUUGUGCUUCAUCAGGAGUCACCCCAAGGGAGGGGGUCACUGGGUGCACUUGAGGAGGCUGAUGGGCAAGCUUGCUAGGGAGGCAAGGACGAAGAGCAGAGGGAAGGAGCUUCAAAGUUCCACCUUUAAACCAGCAGCCACAACCGCCCAUUCCUCUUGCCCUGGAGCUUUCUCUUGGGCCAGAGGCCCCAGUCUCCAGGAGCAGCGAACUGUCUUCCAGGAGGACCUGCCUGUCUGCUCCCACUGCUCCUUCCUGUUGUAGCUGGCAGCACUUCCAGCUGCAGAGAGAGGAGCAGCUGACAGGUUCCACUCAGUAGGCCCCUUGACCCAGGGAAAGCAAAGCCCUCAUUUCCCUCCAGGGGUCAGGAAAGUGGGGGAGAGGGGGGACGUAAAGAGUGGGCUGCACCCCCAGGGAAACCAAAGCCCUCAUUUCCCUCCAGGGGUCAGGAAAGUGGGGGAGAGGGGGAAAGUAAAGAGUGGGCUGCACCCAUCCAAUUUCUCCUUCCUUACUCCCUUGGGGACCUCUUGGCUCCUCCUUACUGCAUGUGUGUGUGUGUGUGUGUAUAUAUAUAUAUAUAUAUAUCAUGGGUAGUUUAAUGAUUUAUUAGCAAAUGAAUACACAUGGAACUCCUCCUCAGAUUCAGAAAUGGAUCAUUUAUAGCCUCUCAGAAUUCUUGUUCCCAUUCAUAACUUCAUCACUUCCCCAGAGGUAACCACUAUUACGACUUUUGCAAUAAGCAUGAAUUUGCUUUUCUAUAUAUACUUUUAACCACAUGUAUACAUCCCUAAAAUAAGAGUCUACUUUUCCUUGUCCAGAACUUUAUGUGACUAAAAUCUUAUGUGUUAUUUGGAUCUUGCUUUUUUUUUAAAGAUUUUAUUUAUUCAUGAGAAACACACACAGAGAGAGAGGCAGAGACACGGGCAGAGGGAGAAACAGGCUCCAUGCAGGGAGCCCGAUGUGGGACUGGAUCCUGGAACCCCAGGAUCAUACCCUGGGCUGAAGCCGAGGCUAAAC
RNAcentral lists this long non-coding RNA (1293 nucleotides) under Vulpes vulpes (red fox). RNAcentral describes it as "lncRNA (ENSVVUG00000007674.1)". The record is from RNAcentral. Lineage: Eukaryota; Metazoa; Chordata; Mammalia; Carnivora; Canidae.